Molecule: ribosomal RNA, 324 nt
Filed under: uncultured Cercomonas
Lineage: Eukaryota; Cercozoa; Cercomonadida; Cercomonadidae
Also listed under: 1 other name
Description: SSU rRNA
Rfam family: Eukaryotic small subunit ribosomal RNA
Source: RNAcentral
GAUUUCUGGUUCGGCGCACUUGGCCCGUCUUGGUUCACAAGAUUGUGUGCUGGUGUGCGCCAUCCAUCCUUCGAGUGAUGCAUUUCUACCCUUUACUGGGUCGGGAAUGAUAGCUCGAUCUUUUACUUUGAAAAAAUUAGAGUGUUUAAAGCAGGCUUGCGCUAUGAAUACAUUAGCAUGGAAUAAUAAUUUAGGACUUUGGUCUUAUUUUGUUGGUUUCUAGGACUAAAGUAAUGAUUGAUAGGGACAGUUGGGGGUGCUAGUAUUCAGCGGCCAGAGGUGAAAUUCUUGGAUUCGCUGAAGACUAACUUAUGCGAAAGCAUU